Molecule: ribosomal RNA, 586 nt
Filed under: uncultured bacterium
Lineage: Bacteria
Description: bacterial SSU rRNA
Rfam family: Bacterial small subunit ribosomal RNA
Source: RNAcentral
CCUACGGGAGGCAGCAGUGGGGAAUUUUGGACAAUGGGGGCAACCCUGAUCCAGCAAUGCCGCGUGAGUGAAGAAGGCCUUCGGGUUGUAAAGCUCUUUUGUCAGGGAAGAAACGGUUCUGGUUAAUACCUGGGGCCAAUGACGGUACCUGAAGAAUAAGCACCGGCUAACUACGUGCCAGCAGCCGCGGUAAUACGUAGGGUGCAAGCGUUAAUCGGAAUUACUGGGCGUAAAGCGUGCGCAGGCGGUUGUGCAAGACCGAUGUGAAAUCCCCGGGCUUAACCUGGGAAUGGCAUUGGUGACUGUACGGCUAGAGUGUGUCAGAGGGGGGUAGAAUUCCACGUGUAGCAGUGAAAUGCGUAGAGAUGUGGAGGAAUACCGAUGGCGAAGGCAGCCCCCUGGGAUAACACUGACGCUCAUGCACGAAAGCGUGGGGAGCAAACAGGAUUAGAUACCCUGGUAGUCCACGCCCUAAACGAUGUCUACUAGUUGUCGGGUCUUACAUUGACUUGGUAACGCAGCUAACGCGUGAAGUAGACCGCCUGGGGAGUACGGUCGCAAGAUUAAAACUCAAAGGAAUUGACGG